Molecule: long non-coding RNA, 1521 nt
Organism: Hippopotamus amphibius kiboko
Lineage: Eukaryota; Metazoa; Chordata; Mammalia; Artiodactyla; Hippopotamidae
Exons: 3
Source: RefSeq, a predicted model, not a curated record
UGGAUGCAUCGUAUACAGACUGAGCUGCCAUGAUAGACAGUCGCCCCUGGAAAGAGAGCAAUAGUCUGCUACAGGAAACCUCACAUCAGCCAUAGAGAUGUCCACGAUGUGCUUGGCCAGAUCCUCGUAGGAGGAGGAGAAGGAGGUCCCCAGGCUGGACAGGCUGGACGGAGAACAGCAGCAACUGCCCAGGGAGGCUCUGCGGCCUACAACGAAUAGGUGGAGGCUCUUGAGACGGUAUGAGCAUCAGGGUCUCAGGGCAGCAACAGCCUCCUGAUGGACAGUGACUCCCUUGGAUCUAGCAGAUCUCAGCCCCAAAGUCCCCACAUCAGAGCGGCCCCGCACAUCUGCUAUCCAGGAGUCUCUGGAAUCAGGCAAGUUUGUGUCCCCCUGCAGAAGAGAAGAUGCUCAGGACCAGAGCAGAGGGAGGGAGAGAGCAGGGCGCCAGGAACCCAGUGCAGAAUUAUCUCCUCUGCCUCUGAACUGCACCAAGAGCUUUCAACAUAAAGGCUCAAGUGAAAAGGUCUUCCCUGCCUGAUGCCCCGGAGAAGUCAACAACAAUGGAAACCAGUCCCUGGAGUUUCCUUGCCCUUCAAGCUACACACUCAAGGUUGCUUGUAGGAGAGUUCCAACAGGGAUCAGAAUGAACUGGGGCCUGAGAGGAUGGGGUGCCAGGGGUCAGUUGGUGGGGGGCCCUCUGCACCACUGCAACAACAGGAAAGAGGCCAUGGCUGGAGCUGUGUUUAGGGUGGGCAGCAAAGCCCAGCUGGCAGGUGGGAAUGGGGAUCAAAAGUGACAGGCUGUGAAAAGCUUGACCCUUGGCCCCAGCUUAAGGUACAGCAGCUAAGCCAAAGGUUCUAGUUUGGAACCAGAUGGAGAUGAUCCUUUGGAUCUGCCAUACAGUCACCCCACCUUUACUGCAAGCAGCUCCUCAAUGACAUGACCCUUGACCUCUGCUGGAUCUAACAGGCACCCACUAUCCUACCUCUAUCAUCAGUUCCUAACCUAGUGCUACUUAUGAAAAAAGAAGUGAACAAAGAUAUUCUGUCUCCAUCCUUACCUCCUUUUUUCCUGCUGCAGCAUCCAGGUGGUUUUUCCUACUUCAGGCAGAUUGAGAUUUUGUGCUACUUUCUUAAGAACCUUUCACUACUGAUCAUCUCUUUCUACACUUAUUGCCUCCACCUCUCCCUCUUCACUAGAUUCUUCAUAUCAGCAUUUAAGCAUGUAAAAAUUUCUCUCAACUUUAAAAACCUUCCUCAACAGGCAUCUUUUCUCUCCUGUCCUUCACAGAUAAACUUGAAACGACUGUCACCAUUUGCCAUCUUCCCACCUCUUAUACCCUUCUGAACCCACUUGAGUCUAGCCUUUGCUAGAUCCAUGUGCUUGGAUCUGGUGAACAGGUCUCAGUUCUCAUCUUGCUGAGCACCUCCCUUUCACUUGAGAUACUUGCUUCCUGAAUUCCCGGGAUCUUGGCUUCCUAUCUCUCUGGGUGCUCCUUCCUACUUUCCUUUGUUGGCUCAU